This is a long non-coding RNA of Macaca mulatta (Rhesus monkey), 2150 nucleotides long. Lineage: Eukaryota; Metazoa; Chordata; Mammalia; Primates; Cercopithecidae. The record is from Ensembl.
UCUCAGCUCUCCUAUGCCAUCCUUUAGGACAUACACUGAAUCUCUUUUCUGUCAGGUUUCAGUCUAUAUUUCUAAAGAAGGACUUCCUUGAGAAUGGUAUGGGAGUUCACUUCCUCAAAUAGAUCAGAAUUUAUUGUUGGAGGCAGAAAAAUUAGCUAAGCAUUACAAUACUAUAAGAUAGUUACUCUGGUGUUAGUCUUUGCACAGAUUGCUGUGGAGGAGACACAUUCAGAGAGACAAGGGGAGGUGAAGUGUUGUGGAGAGACAAUACAGAGAACCAAUAGGAGUAGUGACUUCCUUAAGGUCAGAUAGUUAACAGGAGAACAAAAGAGCAUCUCUAAUUCAUUAGCUGUAUUUGUUUCAAUAGAAGAGGGAUUAAAGCAUGAUUGGGGUUAAGGAAUAUUUCCCUGUAUUGCAUAAAGGUCUAGAGGAUCUGUGGCUUCUUUUUUUUUUUACAUUAAAAUUCAUGAAGUAAAAAAAAAAAUCACUAGAUAGGAAUCAGGAGAUCUGGGUCCUAAGAGGCCCCUUCACCCUUAUUUAUUGUGGAACCUUAGGAACUCAUUUAACUUUUCCAAGUUUUGAUUUGCUUUGUUGUAAAAUGAAAUACAGUUGGGAGGAGGUAAUAAGCAUCUAAGACCCCUUUCUGUUAUAACGUGUUUUGGUUCAGUGGUAUUCUUGCCUUAAGAAUUCUCACUGCAAUUUAUGUUUAAACCAGAGCACAUAUACAAUUAUAGGUAACAUCUGGUUGUUUUUUUUUUUUUUCUUUUCUUUUUUUUAAUACCAGAUAAGGCUAGAUGGCUGUGGUUUUAGGGUAGUUAUAUCAUGCGGAGCUUGACAUCGAUGGUAAGGUUCUCCUUAUGUUAAAACAAAAAUCCCAAAGGAAGCUGGGAAUAUAAUGUAAGGAGGAGUGAGGGACACAAAAAGGAAGAAUAAAAGAAGCCAGACAAAGAAGAAGGAAGAAGAAGGGAUGCUCAGAAGAAAAGGCAUCAGAAAGAAGGGUGACAGAGAUGGCGGCCCCCUCAGUUGGAUAGGGACUCAGUCAAAGUUUGUGAUGCUGACAAAGCCAAUGAGGAUAUUGUGAAUCUGCCAGAGUCACAUGCUGUUAAUACCGAGGCUUGGAUAGGCAGCUCCCACUGGCACUGGUACAACACACAGCACGCGGGACAGCCAGGGAUCGGUGGGGCCCACUCUUCCCUCCUGCUAUUUGCUAACACCUUUAUUGCCUCCAGUUAGUUACUCACACCAAUCUCAUUCCCAUCUGUCGAGGAGCGUUCCCUUCCAACAUUCUGUCCUCCUUCCCAUAUACGAGAAAAAGACCCUCCCAGUGUGACUGCAAAGUGCAAAAUGAUACUGAGCUCUGAAAUCAGGCAAGUUUGGAGUGGGGUUAGCAAUGAUUUUCUUGUUUCCUAGUCCUAAGGACUAAGCAGGUUGGAACUACAGGAUGCUACUCAGGACCCCUCUGCAGACACAGCUGGAGGAGAAGGAGCGAGAUGACUGUCUGGCUGGAGGCCCGUUUGCACUGCCCUGGAGGCAGGGCAUCCCAUUCAUGGUCACUGCCUAUUGAAAGUGCCAAACAGCUGUAUUCAGCUUCCAUCACAUCCACCACACAGAUGUGAACCCACCUAAGUCCUUGACCACUCUCAGUGGCUUUCUACUACUUUGCUUCUGCUUUACAAUCUCCUCUGCCCACUAUUCCUUGUCUGAGAGUCAGUCAAGGCAAGGGAUUACUAUUUGAGCAAGGGACUGCACUGAUAUGAAUGUCUGAUUAGGCAACCGAAGUUGCAGACCAGUGGGCUGUAAAUAAUUGGUAAUUGGGGUUUCUGGUGGACAAAAUUACCCAGUUAUUUUCUCUGCCUGCUAAGUUCUAUUCAUUCACUAAAUUCCUCCCACAUUUUCUCCUCUUGAGUACAUUCUUUCCGAUGUGGAUGUACAGAAAUGUUAACCUCCAGAGCCCCUGAAGAGGGAGGUCAGAGGUCACUGAGCAGAGCAUGACUGUCGUCAUGAAACAAGUCAUACUGUCCCAAUGCCACUUACCUGCAUCAACAUCUAGAAAGGAAAUCAAGCACUGAGUUUUGUCUGCCAGUGAGCCCCGCAAUGAAAAACAUCACAAUGCAAAUAUGUUGCACUUACAAAAUUAAAAAAAAAAAAAA